CGCUAGCUACAGGCUUAACACAUGCAAGUCGAGGGGAAACGACAUCGAAAGCUUGCUUUUGAUGGGCGUCGACCGGCGCACGGGUGAGUAACGCGUAUCCAACCUGCCCACCACUUGGGAUAACCUUGCGAAAGUAAGACUAAUACCCAAUGACGUCUCUAGAAGACAUCUGAAAGAGAUUAAAGAUUUAUCGGUGAUGGAUGGGGAUGCGUCUGAUUAGCUUGUUGGCGGGGUAACGGCCCACCAAGGCGACGAUCAGUAGGGGUUCUGAGAGGAAGGUCCCCCACAUUGGAACUGAGACACGGGUCCAAACUCCUACGGGAGGCAGCAGUGAGGAAUAUUGGUCAAUGGGCGAGAGCCUGAACCAGCCAAGUAGCGUGCAGGACGACGGCCCUAUGGGUUGUAAACUGCUUUUAUAAGGGAAUAAAGUGAGUCUCGUGAGACUUUUUGCAUGUACCUUAUGAAUAAGGACCGGCUAAUUCCGUG
This 486-nucleotide ribosomal RNA is filed under the name uncultured bacterium. RNAcentral's name for it is "bacterial SSU rRNA". It matches the Rfam family "Bacterial small subunit ribosomal RNA", at positions 34 to 507 of the family's 1533-position model. The record is from RNAcentral.